AAUGAACGCUGGCGGCGUGCUUAACACAUGCAAGUCGUGCGCGAAGGUGGCUUCGGCUGCCGGAGAGCGGCGAACGGGUGAGUAACACGUGGGUGAUCUGCCUGGGGGCGGGGGAUAACCUGGGGAAACUCGGGCUAAUACCGCAUACGUUGGCGGGUUUACGGACUCGUCAAGAAAGCUGGCCUCUGCUUGCAAGCUAGCGCUCCCAGAGGAGCCCGCGGCUGAUAGCUAGUUGGUGAGGUAAUGGCUCACCAAGGCGACGAUCAGUAGCCGGCCUGAGGAGGGUGAUCGGCCACACUGGGACUGAGAC
This 310-nucleotide ribosomal RNA is filed under the name uncultured bacterium. Its description in RNAcentral is "bacterial SSU rRNA". It matches the Rfam family "Bacterial small subunit ribosomal RNA", at positions 28 to 325 of the family's 1533-position model. The record is from RNAcentral.